UUGGAAAGAUGUUUCAAAGUUUCGUUUCAAUGGUCUGCAUACUAAGAGAUAUUCCUGUAUGGUUACCCUAAAGCCAGUAUUUACCUUCUGCUGCUAUAUGAUUUUUUUUUAAAUACUGGAGGUGAUAAUUGUAUUCAGAUUCAUACUGUUUGGUCCUUUUGUUGGGUUUUAAGUUGCAUGUCGUCAUUGUUGUGGAUUUAGGAUAAAAGAGAGUACUCCCGUGGGCCAAAAAAGGAGGAAUUGUUUUCCUCCAGAUCGCAUAGGUUAAAGAUGGUUCUACAUUAAUUUGGUGGUAUCAUUUAUCCUAAUAUGCUGCUACUAACUCAAGUUAUUUCACUUGCGUGAUCUCCUUGAACGUGCUAUUUUUUAUCAGCUUAUGGUUUAUACCCCAGAAUGAAAUAAGAUAGGUUUUUCUUCGUAUUUUGAAUUUCUUUAUGUCGAUGUUAAAUAAGUUUUGGUUUAGUUCUCCAUUUUACCAUUAUGUUGAGAUUGGCAAACUAUAGGUACGGUUAGGCUCUCAAUGCUUAUUUAUUUGCCUUGACUUCUGUUUCUUCGGAUUCAUAUGAACGCUGUGGAACAUCACAAAAGACAACUGCAGUAAAAUCUUCUGUUGAUGAUUUUUCAGAAUAUACUCCAUCUGAGUCUGAUUCUAUGGCGUUGGAUGAUGUUCCUAUGCGCUCAAAGGAUUAUAUAUUAUCAGGGCAUCGCCAUCUUACAGAAGAACGAGAGUUGAUGAUCUUUAAAUUUGGUUGUUUAUUUUUUUCCUCAAAGAAGAAUGCAGAAACAUAUCAACGCUCUCUUGAAGCUAGGAAGACAGGAAUCAAGUUUUCUGCUUUUAUUUCGUAUUUGGUUUUGUAUAAAAUAAAUUGGUAAGCUCCAUGAUCCGUGAGGUAUGCUUCAUCUUUUACUUUCUUUGUUUGGCGUUCCUUGCAGAUGGCUCCAUUCUGGUGCCUCAUGGUUACCGAUUUUGUUUUUCUUCAGAUUCGCACCGUCUAGGUUUAGCUCCGGCCGCAGCGUCCAACUUCAUAGAGCUUGGAUUUCGUGUUUUCUCCCCACCGAGUUGUGAACAGGUCAGCCCGCCUCACAAAUAUCCACGCCCAAGUUAAUUCUCUGCAGCCUUUUGCGGAGUGCCACAAGUCCUGCUAUUUUUCUGGUGCGAGUCAAUUUCCUUCCGACAUUUUCCUGGUUCUGCUCUGUAGAUUUUUCUGUGGUAAUGCGAACAUAAAUUUAGGAGCAGUUCUUAAUGCAAUGAACACAAGGCUAGCUUUAGUCAGUAUUAAAAUCCAUAUUCCAAGUGAAAAAUUGGCAGUGCUUGUUGUGGAAGUCAUAUGCUUUCUUUACAUGCAUAGGUGAAAUAGAAUGCUGAAAUCAUGCGUCCAU
Lolium rigidum is the source of this 1380-nucleotide long non-coding RNA. RefSeq lists it as uncharacterized. Lineage: Eukaryota; Viridiplantae; Streptophyta; Magnoliopsida; Poales; Poaceae. The record is from RefSeq and is a predicted model, not a curated record. The transcript is spliced from 4 exons.